UUUACCUUCACUUUGGACACUCUUCUAGCACUUCCUCAUUGUGCUCUUGUUCAUGUUGCUGUUUCGAACUUCACUUGCUGUCAUGGUGGUGGUCUCUUUCCAAUAUGAUCAUUGAAUAUUAGAUUGAAUUUAGUUGUAAAGCUGAAGAUGAACCUGAGGUGUAGCGGUGCAGAUAUUGUUUGUUUCUCUCUGGUAGAUGUGUUUCAGAAUUCUUUCUGCUUUGCUUGAAGUUUUUUGGAUUACAUCGCUGGUGUAGCUGCGUUGAUGAUUGGUGGCUUUCUUUCUUGUACUUGUGUGUUGCUCUGUGACGUGCCUUGUGUGUUUGGGGAUGAUCAAAGCUUCAUACACUUCCUCUGCUUUGUAUAAAUGCUGGCUUAUCUCAAAGUGAUUGUUGAGAAGGAUUUAUCAUUGCUGUUUAUCACUGUGCAAUCUAUAUGUAUAGUAUUAUAAAGUGUAAGUCAAGUAUACACUUCUCUACAUUUUGGCCUUCUUUUGUUAACAUGUUCUGUACGUGAUGUUUUAAUGAUGCCACUUCCUUUAAAUGUUUCCCUGUUUUUAAGUUGGGUGUACAUAGAGCUUUUGAGUUCUACGUGCUGGCAGACGGUCACAUGGUUGGCUAAGUGAGACGGAUUUGGACACCUGGCUGCACAUUCUCAGGCAGUCCCACAUUUCUUGUGUCGUUGGAAUGUGUGACUCCUCACACUGUCGAUUCACAUUUGCUGUCUCAGGCUCAGUGCCAGUAUUGUACAAAAGAUUGCACAAAUUUAAAAUAAGAAAUGUUAUUUAUUUUUUUUGCAAACUGUUUUCAUUUAGUAACUCUAAAUACAGCACAGUUAUAAUCCAUAAUCUCUAGUUUUUACUUAAAGAUACAUUUCCCGGCCUUUUUGCAGCUUAAUCCCGGCAUUGUGCAACAUGGUUAUGUGCCACGUUCCUCCGUGGUUUGAGAGACAAGCCAUGAUUCCUUCCUCUUCAGCUGACGCAGCUAAUUGGACAAUUCAUUUAUUGUUGUUAUCUCCCUCCCACGUCCUGUUAGCUUGUAUCCAGGAUACUGAACUGUAGGCAGUGGCACAAGAUGACGUGCCAUACCUUGCCCUUCCUUACGCUGCAUUAAUUUGCAGCCACUGUAUGCUCUAAGGGCUCCUGUAGGUUGAUAUUAGCAAGCUUCCUUGCAGAAUGUUUGCAGAUGUUUGAUUGGAUCAUUUUUGCUCUGACACCCCCUCAUCUUGGCUGAAUUAGUCCCAUUAGGUUUUUUUUCAAUAUAAAGAGAAGCUUAAAUUAAGACACAUGGAUAGUUCUGCCACAGCUAAAUUAAAAGAAAAACAAACAGUCCUAGUCAGGAAAUGGUGUUACAAUUGGUGUUAAUUUACAAACUGUUUUUUUAAGCGCAUGUUAUCCGAGACGUGCCUCGACCAGACAGCCUGUUUAAACAUGAUGUCUGUGCUGAUCUGCCUGCAUGCAAGCGUCAUAUUGCCUUUAACUAUUAAUGUGUCUGUCACAUGACACAACAUUAAAAGUAAAGUCUUUAUCACACAUACACACACAAAAUCUUCACUUUGGUAUUUCUAUUAUGUUAUAUUCUGGUUCAGCAUUUCAGAAAUAAUAAGUUCUAGCUUUACAAAAGAGAUGGUUUGGCUUCCAGAUUCAAACAUCCUAACAUGUAUAAAGCGUUUGUCUCCGAGACCAGUUUUAACCCUUUAUAAACACACGUUACAGUAUCAGAUGAUACACUUUUAUCAAAGCAAAAUACUAUUUUCAUGAUUUUGCAAUAGAUGACCAACCUUUUUAGUGACUUGAGACUUUAGUUUAACAAAUGUUGAAGAAGCUAUGCAGUUAUGAAUGAGUGAUUGUUUUUUUAGUAUACUAUCAAUGGGACUGUGUCCAAGUCCUAGUCUAAACUAGAGUCAAAUAUACUAAUAUAGUAUAAACCUGGUUGUUAGUGAGUAAACACAUCAUUUACAAAAUAAACUGAA
Molecule: long non-coding RNA, 1970 nt
Organism: Etheostoma cragini (Arkansas darter)
Lineage: Eukaryota; Metazoa; Chordata; Actinopteri; Perciformes; Percidae
Exons: 2
Source: RefSeq, a predicted model, not a curated record